RNAcentral lists this long non-coding RNA (519 nucleotides) under Chrysemys picta bellii (western painted turtle). Its description in RNAcentral is "lncRNA (ENSCPBG00000015918.1)". Lineage: Eukaryota; Metazoa; Chordata; Testudines; Emydidae. The record is from RNAcentral.
CCCACAUCUUCCUGGCUCUUGUUCCUGUGGCUCUGGGCUGGAGCAUGGUAGAAUGGGAUGGCAGCUCUCAGGGCUACACCCGCAGGUACUGAUUACUCCAAAGCCGUGAUGCGGGCAGGGCUGGAGGGCAGGGCGCUGAGCAUGUGCUGCUGUUUGCAGGAGCUGCUGGGGUUGGAGGCCUGGGAGCAGGAGGCCUAGGGGUUGGAGCUGGACUUGGGGGUGCAGGGCUCGGUGUUGGAGCAAAACCUCCCAAGCCAGGCCUCGGGGGACUCGGCACACUUGGCCUGCAGCCAGGUGGCGUAGUCCAGCCAGGUUUCUACCCAGGAGGCGUCUACCCAGGCGGCAUCUACCCAGGGGCUGGGCUGGGAGCCUAUAAAGCUGUUGCCAAAGCUGGUGCUGGAGUGCCCCAGACUGGGGUGCAGCCAGGAGUAGGCGCUGGAGGGAAACCUGCCAAGGUACCAGGUAGGUGACGGAGAAAGCGUUAGUGCGGGGCUGGGAAGGGUGAGACCAAUCAGCUGG